Molecule: transfer RNA, 57 nt
Filed under: gut metagenome
Description: tRNA-Asp
Source: RNAcentral
UAGUUCAGUUGGUUAGAACCAGCCUGUCACGCUAGGGGUCGUCGGUUCGAGCCCGUU